AUACGUAGGGAGCGAGCGUUGUCCGGAUUUACUGGGUGUAAAGGGUGCGUAGGCGGCGCCGCAAGUCAGGUGUGAAAACUAUCGGCUUAACUGAUAGACUGCAUUUGAAACUGUGGUGCUUGAGUGGAGCAGAGGCAGGCGGAAUUCCCGGUGUAGCGGUGAAAUGCGUAGAGAUCGGGAGGAACACCAGUGGCGAAAGCGGCCUGCUGGGCUUUAACUGACGCUGAGGCACGAAAGCAUGGGUAGCAAACAGGAUUAGAUACCCUGGUAGUCCAUGCCGUAAACGAUGGAUACUAGGUGUAGGAGGGUUCAACCUUCUGUGCCGCCGCAAACGCAUUAAGUAUCCCGCCUGGGGAGUACGGUCGCAAGAUUAAA
RNAcentral lists this ribosomal RNA (375 nucleotides) under uncultured bacterium. RNAcentral describes it as "bacterial SSU rRNA". It matches the Rfam family "Bacterial small subunit ribosomal RNA", at positions 523 to 898 of the family's 1533-position model. The record is from RNAcentral.